Molecule: ribosomal RNA, 198 nt
Filed under: uncultured bacterium
Lineage: Bacteria
Description: partial 16S ribosomal RNA
Rfam family: Bacterial small subunit ribosomal RNA
Source: RNAcentral
ACGCUCGACACCUACGAGAGGCAGCAGUGGGGAAUAUUGCACAAUGGGGGAAACCCUGAUGCAGCAACGCCGCGUGAAGGAAGACGGUUUUCGGAUUGUAAACUUCUGUUCUUAGUGAAGAUAGUGACGGUAGCUAAGGAGCAAGCCACGGCUAACUACGUGCCAGUAGCCGCGGUAAUCUGAGCGGGCUGGCAAGGC